GGCUCAGAACGAACGCUGGCGGCGCGUCUAAGCAUGCAAGUCGAACGGCAAGAGGUAGCAAUACCUCCUAGAGUGGCGGACUGGUGAGUAACACGUGGGUGACAUACCCUUCAGAUGGGGAUAGCUAUUAGAAAUAGUAGAUAAUACCGAAUACGAGCACAGGGGUUAGAGAUCUGUGAGGAAAGGAGCUAAGGCUCCGCUGAAGGAAUGGCCUGCGGCCCAUUAGCUAGUUGGUGAGGUAAGAGCCCACCAAGGCGAUGAUGGGUAUCCGGCCUUAGAGGGUGAACGGACACAUUGGGACUGAGAUACGGCCCAGACUCCUACGGGAGGCAGCAGCUAAGAAUAUUCCGCAAUGGACGAAAGUCUGACGGAGCGACGCCGCGUGGAUGAAGAAGGCCGGAAGGUUGUAAAAUCCUUUUGAAACUGAAGAAUAAGCGUUGUAGGGAAUGACAGCGUGGUGACAGUAGGUUUUGAAUAAGCAACGGCUAAUUACGUGCCAGCCGCCGC
This 507-nucleotide ribosomal RNA is filed under the name uncultured bacterium. RNAcentral describes it as "bacterial SSU rRNA". It matches the Rfam family "Bacterial small subunit ribosomal RNA", at positions 21 to 518 of the family's 1533-position model. The record is from RNAcentral.